GUUAAUAAAGAAUUUAUGGUUCCACCUAGUGUGUGAACUAAAAUCUUUAUUUCCUUCCUUUUGGAUAUACUCCACCAAUUAUUUAUAAUUGUGUGGGUCAAAGUUAUUCAAAUCUUUUACUGUGAAGAAAUUAGAGUGUUCAAAGCAGGCGUAACCUAGCCUUUGAAUAUAUUAGCAUGGGAUAAUGAAAUAGGACUUUAGUUCUACUUUCGUUGGUUUCUAGGGCUGAAGUA
Molecule: ribosomal RNA, 233 nt
Filed under: uncultured fungus
Lineage: Eukaryota; Fungi
Description: partial small subunit ribosomal RNA
Rfam family: Eukaryotic small subunit ribosomal RNA
Source: RNAcentral